This 921-nucleotide long non-coding RNA is filed under the name Vulpes vulpes (red fox). RNAcentral describes it as "lncRNA (ENSVVUG00000002444.1)". The record is from RNAcentral. Lineage: Eukaryota; Metazoa; Chordata; Mammalia; Carnivora; Canidae.
CCCAGCAUGACCUUUCCUCCAACGACUCACAGUUCUUGAGGGAAACCGGCAGACUCCCGUCUGCUUUUCCACUGUGACAAAGGUCCAUGCCGAUCAGGUGACAGGGAAGGAUGGGUGGGCUGGGCGGGAGCGAGACCUGGGCGAGCCUGGCACUCCUCCGCCAACAAACACCCGCCCUGCGGCCGGUUCUGCUUCUACUGUUGCUCGGACAAACAGGAGUGGAGGACCGUUUUCCUGAGACUCUCAGAUCAUUGUGCUUCUCAGUGGCCGCCCCAGCGGUGGGAGUGGCUGUGAUGCAGGCACCUGGGGGCUGCGGGGCUGUGGGGCCGAGGGGCUGGGGGGCUGCAGUCAGCCUCAGAGCCACUGGGGGCCUCUGACCCUCAAGUGCGUCACAGUGAAGUUGGGGAAGAGUGACAGCAGCAGGGGACAAUGAUUUCUGUGGGCCCUACAUGGACGCCAUGUGUGGGUUAGGGCAGGAGGGGCGCAUCUCAUUAAGGAGCCACAUCGAAGCACAAUCCCUGAACCACUGUAAUCAGAUGUAAAAUCUGGUUUCCGUCUGAAUUAUGUGUGGUGGACACUGGCUGUCCUUGGAAAAGCCUAGAACACACCCUGCUCUCAUUUCUUCUCUGAUGUGAAGAGUCCACACCCCAAGCGUCCUGGAGGGUCUUCUUUGCAGGGUUAAGCGGGUCGCUGACUUUUGUGCGGGGCGGGGGGGGGGGGGUCACUGCAAGAUUUUUUUUGACAAGCUGCUGUUCCUCUGCAGUACAGUAAUAGCCUAAUUAAUUUUAAUAUUCGCCUGACUGUGCAUCUAAGCCAGUUGGAGGAUGUGUCACAGGAGGAGGUACAAACACGAGACAUGCCAGCAGCAACGUGAGGGAGGUGGCCUCAGGUGGGGGCAGGGCCUUGGGUGGGGGUUGAAGG